RNAcentral lists this ribosomal RNA (492 nucleotides) under uncultured bacterium. RNAcentral describes it as "partial 16S ribosomal RNA". It matches the Rfam family "Bacterial small subunit ribosomal RNA", at positions 29 to 507 of the family's 1533-position model. The record is from RNAcentral.
AGUGAACGCUGGCGGUAGGCCUAACACAUGCAAGUCGAACGGCAGCACAGUAAGAGCUUGCUCUUACGGGUGGCGAGUGGCGGACGGGUGAGGAAUACAUCGGAAUCUACUUUUUCGUGGGGGAUAACGUAGGGAAACUUACGCUAAUACCGCAUACGACCUACGGGUGAAAGCAGGGGAUCUUCGGACCUUGCGCGAUUGAAUGAGCCGAUGUCGGAUUAGCUAGUUGGCGGGGUAAAGGCCCACCAAGGCGACGAUCCGUAGCUGGUCUGAGAGGAUGAUCGGCCACACUGGAACUGAGACACGGUCCAGACUCCUACGGGAGGCAGCAGUGGGGAAUAGUGGACAAUGGGCGCAAGCCUGAUCCAGCCAUACCGCGUGGGUGAAGAAGGCCUUCGGGUUGUAAAGCCCUUUUGUUGGGAAAGAAAAGCAGCAGGUUAAUACCCCGCUGUUCUGACGGUACCCAAAGAAUAAGCACCGGCUAACUUCGUG